This 586-nucleotide ribosomal RNA is filed under the name uncultured bacterium. Its description in RNAcentral is "bacterial SSU rRNA". It matches the Rfam family "Bacterial small subunit ribosomal RNA", at positions 338 to 916 of the family's 1533-position model. The record is from RNAcentral.
CCUACGGGAGGCAGCAGUGGGGAAUAUUGGACAAUGGGCGAAAGCCUGAUCCAGCCAUGCCGCGUGUGUGAAGAAGGUCUUCGGAUUGUAAAGCACUUUAAGUUGGGAGGAAGGGCAGUUGCCUAAUACGUAACUGUUUUGACGUUACCGACAGAAUAAGCACCGGCUAACUCUGUGCCAGCAGCCGCGGUAAUACAGAGGGUGCAAGCGUUAAUCGGAAUUACUGGGCGUAAAGCGCGCGUAGGUGGUUUGUUAAGUUGGAUGUGAAAUCCCCGGGCUCAACCUGGGAACUGCAUUCAAAACUGACUGACUAGAGUAUGGUAGAGGGUGGUGGAAUUUCCUGUGUAGCGGUGAAAUGCGUAGAUAUAGGAAGGAACACCAGUGGCGAAGGCGACCACCUGGACUGAUACUGACACUGAGGUGCGAAAGCGUGGGGAGCAAACAGGAUUAGAUAUCCUGGUAGUCCACGCCGUAAACGAUGUCAACUAGCCGUUGGAAGCCUUGAGCUUUUAGUGGCGCAGCUAACGCAUUAAGUUGACCGCCUGGGGAGUACGGCCGCAAGGUUAAAACUCAAAGGAAUUGACGG